AUGCUCUUUGCAGGGAAGGAAAACAAAAAAUCAGCCUUGAGGGCAACAGGAGGAAAGUCACAUUUGCCAGCAGACAGCACCCAACACUGGCAGAGGGAGAAACUGAGCCCUGGCAGCGUGGGGCAGGAUUUGCACAAAGUCUCCCAUUUGGAGCUGCUUGUCUCCGCAGUCCCAGGGCAGCGCCCAGCCCACAUCCCCCUUCUCAAAGCCCCAGGGAUUGAUGAGAAGCCCCUGCCACACCCGCAGGACAGAUGGAUGAAGGGGCUCAUAAAGGCAAAAAUGUCUAGAACCCACGAAAGUCAUAAAGCAGCCUUGAUGAGGAGAGAAGAAUGCUUGGAUGGAUCAGCAUGGAGUCAAGCAGACAAAGGCAAAAAGUGUUUUGUAGCAGGAAGAGCCCGAAACUGAGGAAUGAUGGAGGGGAGAAAGCAAAGCAUAAGCCCCAGAAUGCGGACUUCAGGGCAUGCUGAUUCUACUUACUGGGACAGGGAAGAGGGUAGGAAGGUCGCCAGGGCCCACAGGAUCAUGAGCCCUCCCUGCCAGGCCAGCUGUGGAAAAGUCACCACGGAUCCAGGAUCUUGAAAGGGUUGGAGACAACUGCUGAAUCUUUAUACAACGGGAAGACAAAGGAUUUCUUUACAAAGACCGGCAUAAUCAGAUACCGUUUUAGAAAAUGGGUGUUUGGUGAGCACGCGGGACCUGGGAGUGCACUGGUGAGAGACUGGAGGAUAAACCAGAAUCUAACAGUACCUAAGGAGCCAGCUCCCUCUCCCUAUCCCGAUUCCCCGGCCACUCCCAGGCUCAGGAAAAUGUCAUGAAACUAAAGCAGUUUGGAAAAGAGCAGGAAAGACCUCCCAGCUAGACCCAGCCCGCGCGCAGCUUGGCCCAAGCUCAGGCUCAUGAGGAGCAAGCACAUGGGCCUCGCGGCUGGCUGCGUUUGCUGGCCAAACCACAGGGCAAAUUUAAACGCGUCGGUUGUCACAACACAGCAGACCUGAGGGACAACGGCUUUCUUAAAAGUGGGGCUUGGGGCGCCUGGGUGGCUCAGUGGGUUAAGCCGCUGCCUUCGGCUCAGGUCAUGAUCUCAGGGUCCUGGGAUCGAGUCCCACAUCGGGCUCU
RNAcentral lists this long non-coding RNA (1116 nucleotides) under Mustela putorius furo (domestic ferret). RNAcentral's name for it is "lncRNA (ENSMPUG00000024859.1)". The record is from RNAcentral. Lineage: Eukaryota; Metazoa; Chordata; Mammalia; Carnivora; Mustelidae.